Molecule: ribosomal RNA, 503 nt
Filed under: uncultured bacterium
Lineage: Bacteria
Description: partial 16S ribosomal RNA
Rfam family: Bacterial small subunit ribosomal RNA
Source: RNAcentral
GAUGAACGCUAGCGAUAGGCCUAACACAUGCAAGUCGAGGGGCAGCAUAGAGUAGCAAUACUUUGAUGGCGACCGGCGCACGGGUGAGCAACACGUAUGCAACCUACCUACAUCAGGGGAAUAACCCGGAGAAAUUCGGACUAAUACCGCAUAAUACAGGGAUGCCGCAUGGCAAUAUUUGUUAAAGAUUUAUCGGAUGUAGAUGGGCAUGCGUUCCAUUAGCUAGUUGGUAAGGUAACGGCUUACCAAGGCAACGAUGGAUAGGGGAACUGAGAGGUUUGUCCCCCACACUGGAACUGAGACACGGACCAGACUCCUACGGGAGGCAGCAGUGAGGAAUAUUGGUCAAUGGACGAGGGUCUGAACCAGCCAAAUCGCGUGAAGGAAGACUGCCCUACGGGUUGUAAACUUCUUUUGUACAGGAAUAAAAGACAUUACGUGUAAUGUAUUGCAUGUACUGUACGAAUAAGCAUCGGCUAACUCCGUGCCAGCCGCCGCUGUAA